CCCUUAGAUGUUCUGGGCUGCACGCGCGCUACACUGAAGCGUUCAACGAGUAUUCACCUUGCCCGGGAGGGUUGGGUAAUCUUUUUAAAACGCUUCGUGAUGGGGAUAGAUUAUUGCAAUUAUUAAUCUUCAACGAGGAAUUCCUAGUAAGCGCGAGUCAUCAGCUCGUGCUGAUUACGUCCCUGCCCUUUGUACACACCGCCCGUUGCUCCUACCGAUUGAGUGAUCCGGUGAAUAAUUCGGACUGCAGCAGUGCUUGGUCCUCCGGGCUUUGCAGCGGAAAGUUUAGUGAACCUUAUCACUUAGAGGAAGGAGAAGUCGUAACA
This 326-nucleotide ribosomal RNA is filed under the name uncultured eukaryote. RNAcentral describes it as "partial 18S ribosomal RNA". It matches the Rfam family "Eukaryotic small subunit ribosomal RNA", at positions 1470 to 1796 of the family's 1831-position model. The record is from RNAcentral.